This 396-nucleotide ribosomal RNA is filed under the name uncultured bacterium. RNAcentral's name for it is "partial 16S ribosomal RNA". It matches the Rfam family "Bacterial small subunit ribosomal RNA", at positions 523 to 917 of the family's 1533-position model. The record is from RNAcentral.
AUACGUAGGGGGCGAGCGUUGUCCGGAAUGAUUGGGCGUAAAGGGCGCGUAGGCGGCCCGGUAAGUCUGGAGUGAAAGUCCUGUUUUUAAGAUGGGAAUUGCUUUGGAUACUGUCGGGCUUGAGUGCAGGAGAGGUAAGUGGAAUUCCCAGUGUAGCGGUGAAAUGCGUAGAGAUUGGGAGGAACACCAGUGGCGAAGGCGACUUACUGGACUGUAACUGACGCUGAGGCGCGAAAGUGUGGGGAGCAAACAGGAUUAGAUACCCUGGUGGUCCACACUGUAAACGAUGAAUGCUAGGUGUAGGGGGUAUCGACCCCUUCUGGGCCGCAGUCAACACAAUAAGCAUUCCGCCUGGGGAGUACGGCCGCAAGGUUGAAACUAAAAUGAAUUGGCGGG